This 63-nucleotide transfer RNA is filed under the name Metcalfa pruinosa. RNAcentral's name for it is "tRNA-Ser". The record is from RNAcentral. Lineage: Eukaryota; Metazoa; Arthropoda; Insecta; Hemiptera; Flatidae.
AGUUAGUAAGCUCUAAGCAUUAUAUCUUGAAAAUAUAAAAAAGAAUAAAAAUUCUACUUACUU